UAGGGAAUCUUCCGCAAUGUGCGAAAGCCUGACGGAGCAACGCCGCGUGAGUGAUGAAGGUCUUCGGAUCGUAAAACUCUGUUAUUAGGGAAGAACAAAUGUGUAAGUAACUAUGCACGUCUUGACGGUACCUAAUCAGAAAGCCACGGCUAACUACGUGCCAGCAGCCGCGGUAAUACGUAGGUGGCAAGCGUUAUCCGGAAUUAUUGGGCGUAAAGCGCGCGUAGGCGGUUUUUUAAGUCUGAUGUGAAAGCCCACGGCUCAACCGUGGAGGGUCAUUGGAAACUGGAACACUUGAGUGAAGAAGAGGAAAGUGGAAUUCCAUGUGUAGCGGUGAAAUGCGCAGAGAUAUGGAGGAACACCAGUGGCGAAGGCGACUUUCUGGUCUGUAACUGACGCUGAUGUGCGAAAGCGUGGGGAUCAAACAGG
This 429-nucleotide ribosomal RNA is filed under the name Actinomycetes bacterium. RNAcentral describes it as "Actinobacteria bacterium partial 16S ribosomal RNA". It matches the Rfam family "Bacterial small subunit ribosomal RNA", at positions 355 to 776 of the family's 1533-position model. The record is from RNAcentral. Lineage: Bacteria; Bacillati; Actinomycetota; Actinomycetes.